This 7175-nucleotide long non-coding RNA is filed under the name Gossypium barbadense (sea-island cotton). RNAcentral's name for it is "long non-coding RNA (GBAR_LNC019166)". Lineage: Eukaryota; Viridiplantae; Streptophyta; Magnoliopsida; Malvales; Malvaceae. The record is from RNAcentral.
ACAUGCAUAUUCACAUUCAUUGAAUCUACGUGCAUGCAUCUAGCCAAUGAAUCUUCAAAUUCGGCUGCACCUAAAUAAAAACGCAUGAACUUAAUUAAUUCAAACAAAUUCAGCUAAACUAAAUUAAAACAUAAUGUGAACACUCUAAUUGACAUUGUGACAAAUUAAAUAUUAACUAAACAAGACACAUUAAUUCUGCUAAACAUAACUAAUUCAUGUUUUAAUUUAAGACAUACUUAAUAAAAUUAAGACACAUUUAAUUUAAUUAAGACAAGACAAGUUAAACAAUUGUACUAAUUUUGUACACACUAAUGAGAUGUAGUAAACUUAAACAAAUGCUUAAUUUAAAUGUCCAAAAAUUCCAGCAAAUAAAAUUAAUGAGUUGAAAAGAAAUUAAACCGAGCUGAAAUAAGCUCAUGUGAGCUAAAAUAAAAUUAGGUCAGCUGAACCAAGGACAUGUCCGGGGCAGGGUCGUAUCAUUCCCCCUUCAUCGAAGCGACUUGUCCUCAAGUCGAGGCGUUGGUUCACUCGAACAUAGCUCUUUUUACCUGGCUUUCCUCGGUCAAAUGGUACGGAUGGAAAUUGAAUCAACUGAAAUGAAUAGUCAUGAGUUAGCAAAUAGCAAUGCAAACGAACUUGUAGUCCAAUCAUAAGCAUAACAGAAUGCAUGUGAAUGGACAGGUUCAAAACAACAUAUUGACAACCAUGCAAACAAAUUAAUUUACUCGCCAAUGCCUCAUUAAAUAUUCGAAACAACAAUGGACAUGUUCUAAGGCAUUCAAACGUUUUAAAUGGUUUCCACAAGCCAUGCAUAAAUCGCGAGUAAUAAAUAAAAUGGUAAAUGUAAUUGUCACAAGCAGACAUUUGAAAAGAUUCAUAUGAUUCAAGAAUUGGCUUGGUUGGACAUUGCAAUUUCCGUUUAAUCAUAUGGUCACCAAAAAAGUCACGAAGAUCAAACACAAGAAUCUUUUUAUCAACAACCAAAACAGGUAGAUGAUCAAUAAACAAGAUAGAACAGUCAGGCAAGUCGCAAUUUAAAUGUUUUACAAGAACCAAAUCAACAACACUAUCUUUGUCAACACCUAAAGAGAACAACAAUGUUUCAAAAAGUUCAUGAGCCUUACCUUUAAAAGUAGGAACACAAAGAUCAGUUUUACCUUGUUCAGUCAAUACAAACCUCCGCUCCUCGGGGGUAUAUUGUAGUCGAAGCUUUUCAAUUUGACUCUCCAUCUUUGGCGGUUGGGAGAAAAAAGAAAUCAAACUCAAAUUACAUCCAAAAUAAAUGAAAAAUUCAUUCAAUUGGUCAUGCAUCCAAAGUCUUAUUUGAUCAAAACUUGCAUAUCUCAAAUUAUCAAACAGUCUUGAUAUGUCAUUAUUGCAAACAAGUGAAUUCAAUCGAUUCAAAGGACAAUUACUCAUGCAUGUUCGCACACAAUCAAAUUCAAGAGUUCUUUUCCAUGCCUUUUCAACAUGAUCAAUCUCAAAGAAAGACUUAUAUGGGUGUUCAUCUUGCGCAUUCAAAAUGUACCAAGGACAAUGGAUUACAGUUUGAUUUGUUUGUGGUUCAGCAUAGCAAUUUGUAUCUAUAUUAUUCUUGCAAUCAUCGCUCAAAACAAGCACUUCAUGGCUAACCAAAAGAAAACAAUCAUUUGCAUCAGGAUACAAAUAUUUAUCAAAGGCCAAAGUGUCAAACAAAUUGUUCACAUAAAAUUUAGGAUGCUCGAAUUUCUCACAAAAUGGACCAAUAUAGCAAAGUCCAGGUUUGAACACACGAGUUUGAUCACUUAUUCCGUAAUGCAGUAGAAAUUUCAUUAAUUCAAACAUGCCAAACCAAGAAAAUUUUUGAGUACACAGUGUCACACCUUCAAACUUACAUAGGCAUGCAAAAUUUAUAUGACAAAGCAGAGACGUCUCACAAAUAAUCGAACUAGGAGAUUUACAUGACAACUUUUUAACACACAAUUUCAAAAAUUGUUUGUGUUGAUUUACACUUACUUCACCAGCAAACUUGUCAACAUGGCAAUUUUCGUUAGAGAAACUCGUCUUAUCAUCGUUUAAAACCAACACAUUUCCAUUAAUCAAAGAAGGGUAAUUGACCAUAUCAUCAUUAUAUUCACAAAUGUUCAAAUAAGUUGGUGGGGAUUGAAACAGGUUAUAACACUUACCUUUCUUAACUUGUGGCAUAGGUGGACUAGGAUUACCUUUACCAACCAACGUGAACCUUCUCUCCUUGGAAAGGUAUUGGAUUUGAAAAUAAUUUGGCACCGUUUAAUUCAUCAAGCAUGUCGUUGAGAUGCGGUAUCGGUUGACGAUAUUUAAUGGUUAUUUUAUUUACGACGCGGCAGUCAAUACACAUACGCCAAGUCCCAUCUUUCUUAGGGACCAACAAUAUCGGCACAGCGCAAGGACUAAGGCUCUCUCAACUGUAGCCCUUUUCCAUGAGUUCAUUGACUUGUCUUUGCAGCUCUUUGGUUUCUUCGGGAUUGGUUCUGUAUGCAGGUCGAUUCGGAAUAACGGCUCCAGGUACGAAGUCAAUUUGGUGCUCAAUCCCACGAAGGGGUGGCAAACCACUUGGCACAUCAUCCGGAAAUACAUCUUUGAAAUACUGCAAAAGAGAGACAACAGAAGAUGGAAUGUUCUCGGGAAGUUCAUUAGAGUUAAGAAAAUUUUCCUUAUACAUGAGCACAAGGAUCGGUUGCCUCAUUAAAAAUGCUUUUCGAACAUCACCAACCCUCGCAAAAACACUCAAUUUUUCACUUUCCUUUUCCUUUUCGUCUUUUUCUUUUCUCAAUUUCUUUUCAUUUUAUUGUAUAGUUUUUCCUCUUUUUUAUCAUUUUUCUUUUCUUUUGUAUUUUCACUCAUUUUUUUUCUCUCGUUUGUUCUAUCGAUUGUUUCAAUUUAACUUAGUCCUCAUACACUUGCUUUGGCGUCAACGGGGCUAAGGUUACAUUUCUUCACAUAUGCUUGAAAGAAUAGCGGUUUGAGUAUCCAUCAUACAUGACUCGACGAUCAAAUUGCCACGGACGACCAAGUAGUAAGUGACCCGAAUGCAUUGGAACAACAUCACAUAGUACCUCGUCGCAAUAAUUUCCAAUGGAGAAUGAAACUAGAACUUGCUUGGUGACCUUGAGUUCACCACCAUCAUUGAGCCAUUGGAGUUUGUAAGGGCUCGGGUGCUUGGUGGUUGGCAAGCCUAACUUCUUAACCAUAAGAGUGCUCGCCACAUUCGUGCAGCUACCACCAUCAAUGAUGACACUACAUAUUUUCCCUUGAACUUGGCAUCGUGGGUGGAAAAUGUUUUCUCGUUGUUGCUCGUCUUCCACACCUUUGAUGCUAAAGCUCCUUUUGACAACAAGAAGUUCUCCAUCAAGGGCAUGUUCAACUUCUUCUUCAUUGUCGGAUUCUGCUUCGAGGUCAUCUUCAAGUUCUUCCUCUUCCAAUUCAAUUUCUCCAUUCGUACGAACCACCAUAUUACUACUGUUGGGACAUUGGCUGGCGAUAUGCCCCCUUCCGAGGCACUUAAAGCACUUGAUAUCCCUCUUUCGAUUGGAAAAUGAAUCUAUCACAUUGCUUUUACUCGUGUCGCCCAUAGGUCUAUUUGUCUUAGCAGGAACCAUUGGCUCUUUGGCACGACUUGAUGGAUUGUUUCUAUUCGUGCUUUGACCCUAUUUUGUUGUACUCGUAGUAGGGUAGCUUCGAACAAAGCUCUUUCGCUUGAGUUGCUUCUCCACCUUAAUGGCCAUAUGCACCAUGUCCAUGAUUUCAAUGUAAUAUUGUAGCUCCACAACAUUGGCGAUGUCUCGAUUGAGACCAGCAAGGAAAUGCACCAUCAUUACUUCACAAUCUUCUUGGACAUUGGCACGAAUCAUUGCAAUCUCCAUCUCUUUACAAUAAUCUUCAACACUUCUUGAACCUUGAGUGAGAUUUUGAAGUUUUUGAUAGAGUUCCCGGUGAUAGUAGGAUGGAACGAAACGUCAUCGCAUCACAGCCUUCAUUUCGGCCCAAGUUGAUAUUGGCCGUUCCCCAUUCCUUCUCUGGCUCAUGGUGAGUUGAUCCCACCAAAUCAUGGCAUAAUCGGAGAACUUUAUGGCCGCCAACUUCACCUUUUUUAUCUCAAAAUAAUUGUGACAAUCAAAAACCAAUUCAAUAUUCUUUUUCCAUUCUAAGUAGGCUUCCAGAUUGGAUUUUCCUUGAAAAGAUGGAAUAGAAAGUUUCAUGUUCUUCAAGUCAUCAUCCACUCGUCUUCGAUCCUGAUUGUUUCGAUUCCUUGGACCUCUUCGCCUUUCGCUUUGGUUUGACCCUUGAUCACUUUCGGCUUCACUUGGAUCAUAGAGGUCUUCUUGAUUGGCGUCUAGGUGGCCUCGUUCUCUUUGUGGCCCUUGAGGAGUUUUUUCUCGUUGAGUCCUCUCCUCGACUCAUUCCAAACGCUCAUUGAAUGAUUCCAUCUCAUUCCGGAGCAUGCGUUGGAAUUCUUGCAACAUGGCUUGUUGAGUCAAAUCUGGCACUCCGCCUCCUCUAAGCGCGACGUUUUAGAUUGGUUGUCUUCCACCUCCUUCUGCCAUAUUUUGUUCUGGGUUUUGAGACAUGAAUAUAAAAACCUCACAACAAAAACCUCACAAAUCUCUCGAAAAAAAAAGUUGGUGUCACUUACACUCAUGUUUGCGCUCGUUUUUUGGCUUUUACCUCCAUUCUAAUGCGCUCACACACUCGUGCCUUUUUCACUCAAUUUCCUCUAGUGAUUUCGUAGAAGACUCGAUGUGACGUUAUCUUAGUCCAGUGGGUUGGCUUUAAAAUAGCUCACAAGGGAUUGAUGUUAGGUUAUGGGUAGGCUAAAAGAAAUAAGGGAGGCUUUGAACUAAAUGUGACGUGAAAAAAAAAGAGUAUUAGGUAAUGAUCGGUAUUACAAAUAAGCGAACAACUUUCAGAACUUGAAACAAAACACUUUUUUUUAAUUCACAAUUUUUUUUUCAAUUCACUUCUUUUUUUUUAAUUUCGUAAGUAUAUAUUUGUUUUUUUAAUUUUAAAUUUUUUUCAAACUUUUUUUUACAUACCUAUUUCAAAAUGACUUCGAGUGCUUGUACUUCUCGUUUUAACCAGCUUUGAUACCAAAUGAUGUGAUCCAGCUCGAGAAAAUUGAGUCGUUUCACAAAGUUUGCCCGAUCGUCGACGAUGAGAAGUUCUAGCAGCCAAAAAGGUGUAAAUUUGUUUUAAAAUUUUGCGGAAGCUAACAAAUUAAAUUUUGUAAUGAUAGAAGGUUUAGAAAGAUGUAGGUUUGGUUUAAUAAAGGAAUCAAAGGAUAGUUAAUUUGGGAUAAUUUGUGGGAAUGGAAAAAAGAAUUUAACUCUAGAAACGAUUCAACACUAAAGAGUGUCACCCCGGUUUCUAUUAGGUUAAGGUGGAUUUGCGAAAUUGUAGAAGGGUUGAACGCCACACCAAAAUAAGGUGAUAAGUUCAAAAAGAGAACGAUAGAUGCCACUAGCUCGCUAGAUAAGUCAGAUCGAAACUCAUACAAAUUUAGAGAGGAGAAAGCUCACUCUUUGAACAAAGUUCAUUCAAUAAACUGGAAAAAGUCCUUUUUACAAGAAAAUCAACAACUAUUUAUAGCCUAAAGUCUAGUAGCCGAAUGGACAGAUUCAAGACUUAAUAUUUAAGCAAACAUUGAACUAAAUUCCAGCUUUAAUUCAUGAAUGAAGACCAAGGUAGAUUCGGCGGAAUGGAGAAUAAAAAUUAGCUCCUCAAUUAAGCAAAUGAAUCUUGAAAGUUCUUGGCAGCAACUAAAUUCGAUUAAUGAUCUUAAUUUGGCGCAUUUGUGAAGCAACUCUUGUUGAAACAUCACCAGCAUUUAAGGAGAAUUUGAGCAACCCUUGGAAGUGUGAAUAGAAGGUUUUGUAAAGCCUCAUGGUGUGAACAAGCUGAACCAAACAGCCAAGGUGUAAACAGAUGGUGUGAAAAGAAUUAUGUUGCUUUGAGGAGAGGAUCGACCAUGUCUUGGAAAGUUGAAUGGUUACUGUCUCUUGGCCGAAUAGUUGCCUUAGGGAGAACCAAAAUUAAUCAGCUUCAAUGCAUUAUACCAGCUGCACAUGCAUAUUCACAUUCAUUGAAUCUACGUGCAUGCAUCUAGCCAAUGAAUCUUCAAAUUCGGCUGCACCUAAAUAAAAACACAAGAACUUAAUUAAUUCAAACAAAUUCAGCUGAACUAAAUUCAAACAUAAUGUGAACACUCUAAUUGACAUAGUGACAAAUUAAAUAUUAACUAAACAAGACACAUUAAUUAUGCUGAACAUAACUAAUUCAUGUUUUAAUUUAAGACGUACUUAAUAAAAUUAAGACACAUUUAAUUUAAUUAAGACAAGACAAAUUAAACACUUGUACUAAUUUUGGACACACUAAUGAGCUGUAGUAAACUUCAACAAAUGCUUAAUUUAAAUGUCCAAAAAUUCCAGCAAAUAAAAUUAAUAAGCUGAAAAGAAUUUAAACCGAGCUCAAACGAGCUGAAAUAAGCUCAUGUGAGCUGAAAUAAAAUUAGGUGAGCUGAACCAAGGACAUGUCCGGGGCAGGGUCGUAUCAUCUAUGUUUAAUAAACUAAUAUAAUGUAAUAAUAUUUUUGGUAUUAUUACUAAUUUAAUCCCUGAAUGAUUAAACAUACACUAUAUAAGUAUUGUGUCAAUUAAUUUAGUUGUUUUCCUUCAUUCAUAAUGCAUGAGAAACAUAUUCAUGAUUUUACUUGCAUGAGUAAAUAGAUCAAAAGCACAGAACAUCUUUAGUAGAAUUAAAUAAUUACAGCUACAAAAAUUAAAUCAUUCUAAAACCAACAAAAUUAAGUAAUCAUUAUUAUAUUAAAAGCACAUAAACUUAGUUGUAAUCAUAUUUCUUGAAUUGAAAAAAAAUAAAGAUUGAAAGGAAAGAGAAUUGCUAAGCCACUUCUAGUUGAUCUCCAUGGCACAACUCACUUUGCUCCUCAUUUGUUCUUUUCUUCUUGUUGUGACUACCAAGCUUUAAAGCUCUCAAUAUUGCCUAAAGUGGCUACUCUCAAAACCUUGCAAAUACUCUCUCAAAUGGAAGUGAAACGAGAGAGAACGAGAGAACAAAUGCCUCUUUAUUUAUACUAGUGAGGAGCUCAUUGAGUUUUCUAUUUUAAGCAUGAUAAUCCCCCAUUUUUUCUCUCAUGCAUGGUC